Molecule: ribosomal RNA, 492 nt
Filed under: uncultured bacterium
Lineage: Bacteria
Description: partial 16S ribosomal RNA
Rfam family: Bacterial small subunit ribosomal RNA
Source: RNAcentral
AGUGAACGCUGGCGGUAGGCCUAACACAUGCAAGUCGAACGGCAGCACAGUAAGAGCUUGCUCUUACGGGUGGCGAGUGGCGGACGGGUGAGGAAUACAUCGGAAUCUACUUUUUCGUGGGGGAUAACGUAGGGAAACUUACGCUAAUACCGCAUACGACCUACGGGUGAAAGCAGGGGAUCUUCGGACCUUGCGCGACUGAAUGAGCCGAUGUCGGAUUAGCUAGUUGGCGGGGUAAAGGCCCACCAAGGCGACGAUCCGUAGCUGGUCUGAGAGGAUGAUCAGCCACACUGGAACUGAGACACGGUCCAGACUCCUACGGGAGGCAGCAGUGGGGAAUAUUGGACAAUGGGCGCAAGCCUGAUCCAGCCAUACCGCGUGGGUGAAGAAGGCCUUCGGGUUGUAAAGCCCCUUUGUUGGGAAAGAAAAGCAGCAGGUUAAUACCCCGCUGUUCUGACGGUACCCAAAGAAUAAGCACCGGCUAACUUCGUG